GUGAACCAUAUUUGACAAUGCAAGGGUCCUCUAGUUAAAUCAUGUUAUGAGCAGAUUGUUUACUCCACAUUAUCUCCAAGUUCAUCCUACGAUAUCACUAUACAAGUCAUAUCGCAAUAUGUUUUCAGCCACCAGUCUAUGACAACCAUGCUGGACUUGCUAAUUGCUUGGAAAAAUGGUAUCACUAGAUCAACAAUUAAUGUAAGUUACCAUAAUAAAAGGGGUUUAUAUUUCCGGACACAGUAGUAUGUCGGCGUGUUCGUUAUCCAGGAACAGCAAAUGUCUCGAUAAUUAUCAGGUAACGUUGGUAUUGUAACAUAUCUUGUUUGUUUAUUCGGUUUAUUGGAUAGAGAAGAAUAAUGAUUAAAUUAAUGUGAGAGAAGCUUGAAAAUAGAAACAUGCCAUAUGCUUUUCCAUGGCAUCUAAUUAACAUCAAUGCCAAACAAAUUUAAUGAUUUAGAUUAGAGCUUUAAAUAUAUCAAGUUAAUAAACAUGGUGUGUAUUAGGUAGAUAGACACAUGUAAAUACGUAACUAAAUGUGCAACAUAUAGCUAGAAGCCCAGAACAUAACGGAACCACUAGAGUGUAAAACAAUUGGCAUUUAGACCCACUGCCCACAGAUAUAUAUAGUCCACAAACUAUGACUAAUCAUGAGUGAGGCAAUCAUGUCCACAAACUAUGAC
This 683-nucleotide long non-coding RNA is filed under the name Daucus carota (carrot). Its description in RNAcentral is "long non-coding RNA (DCAR_LNC001638)". Lineage: Eukaryota; Viridiplantae; Streptophyta; Magnoliopsida; Apiales; Apiaceae. The record is from RNAcentral.